AAGACCUUGCGCUUUUGGAGCGGCCGAUGCCUGAUUAGCUUGUUGGUAAGGUAAAGGCUUACCAAGGCUUCGAUCAGUAGCUGGUCUGAGAGGACGGCCAGCCACACUGGGACUGAGACACGGCCCAGACUCCUACGGGAGGCAGCAGUGGGGAAUUUUGGACAAUGGGGGAAACCCUGAUCCAGCCAUGCCGCGUGAGUGAAGAAGGCCUUCGGGUUGUAAAGCUCUUUCAGCCGGGAAGAAAAGGUUGCGAUUAAUAAUCGCAAUUGAUGACGGUACCGGAAGAAGAAGCACCGGCUAACUACGUGCCAGCAGCCGCGGUAAUACGUAGGGUGCGAGCGUUAAUCGGAAUUACUGGGCGUAAAGCGUGCGCAGGUGGUUUUGUAAGUCAGAUGUGAAAGCCCCGGGCUCAACCUGGGAACU
This 423-nucleotide ribosomal RNA is filed under the name uncultured bacterium. Its description in RNAcentral is "bacterial SSU rRNA". It matches the Rfam family "Bacterial small subunit ribosomal RNA", at positions 207 to 622 of the family's 1533-position model. The record is from RNAcentral.